GCGUUGUUCGGAAUUACUGGGCGUAAAGCGCGCGUAGGCGGCUUUGUAAGUCAGAGGUGAAAGCCUGGAGCUCAACUCCAGAACUGCCUUUGAGACUGCAUCGCUAGAAUUGUGGAGAGGUAAGUGGAAUUCCGAGUGUAGAGGUGAAAUUCGUAGAUAUUCGGAAGAACACCAGUGGCGAAGGCGACUUACUGGACACAUAUUGACGCUGAGGUGCGAAAGCGUG
Molecule: ribosomal RNA, 226 nt
Filed under: uncultured bacterium
Lineage: Bacteria
Description: partial 16S ribosomal RNA
Rfam family: Bacterial small subunit ribosomal RNA
Source: RNAcentral